GCGCCUGUAGCUCAGCUGGAUAGAGUACCUGACUACGAAUCAGGGUGUCGGAGGUUCGAAUCCUUCCAGGCGCG
This 74-nucleotide transfer RNA is filed under the name marine gamma proteobacterium HTCC2080. It matches the Rfam family "tRNA". From Rfam's summary of the family: Transfer RNA (tRNA) molecules are approximately 80 nucleotides in length. Lineage: Bacteria; Pseudomonadati; Pseudomonadota; Gammaproteobacteria; Cellvibrionales; Halieaceae. The record is from Rfam by way of RNAcentral.